AAAGGACUGGCAUUCACUGAUGUGGAUGUCGAUUCCAUCAA
Molecule: non-coding RNA, 41 nt
Filed under: Gorilla gorilla (western gorilla)
Lineage: Eukaryota; Metazoa; Chordata; Mammalia; Primates; Hominidae
Source: RNAcentral